Molecule: small nucleolar RNA, 104 nt
Filed under: Triticum aestivum (bread wheat)
Lineage: Eukaryota; Viridiplantae; Streptophyta; Magnoliopsida; Poales; Poaceae
Description: Plant small nucleolar RNA R71
Rfam family: Plant small nucleolar RNA R71
About the family: R71 is a member of the C/D box family of snoRNAs containing the C (UGAUGA) and D (CUGA) box motifs. Multiple nearly identical copies of this snoRNA have been identified in Arabidopsis, and it is thought to function as a 2'-O-ribose methylation guide for 18S ribosomal RNA.
Source: Rfam by way of RNAcentral
AGCCCGUGGUUAGGACAUCUCAUGUAUAAAGCCUUGUAUCUCUUCCAAGCAUCAUACAAGCUCUCGCGUUCAUGCUGAACGAAGCUGAAUAUCUCAUCUCGAAU